UCAAGCUGUAAAGGGCGCAAGGGGAAUGCCUUGGCACUGAGAGCCGACGAAGGACGCGACAAGCUGCGAUAAGCUACGGGGAGCCGCAAAUGGGCUUUGAUCCGUGGAUUUCCGAAUGGGGAAACCCGGCAGAGCAAUACUCUGUCAACAUGUACUGAAUACAUAGGUACAUGUGGGGAACCGCCUGAACUGAAACAUCUAAGUAGGGCGAGGAAGAGAAAUCAACCGAGAUUCCGCUAGUAGUGGCGAGCGAACGCGGAAGAGGCCAAACCGGAGGUAGCAAUAUUUCCGGGGUUAGGACUGUAACAUGUAACUUUAAUCUUUAACUGAAUGCUUUGGGAAGAGCAGCGAUACAGGGUGACAGCCCCGUAAGUGAAAAGGAUUGAGUGCUAGCAGUAUCCAGAGUACCAGCGGACACGUGAAACCCGCUGGGAAGAUGGGGGGACCAUCCUCCAAGCCUAAAUACUACUCAGUGACCGAUAGUGGAGCAGUACCGUGAGGGAAAGGUGAAAAGUACCCCGGGAGGGGAGUGAAAAAGAACCUGAAACCUUGUGCCUACAAGCACCGAGAGUCCGUUAAUGGAUGAUCGGGUACUUUUUGUAGAACGGUCCGGCGAGUUAAUAUUUGCAGCGAGGUUAAGGAACUGGAGUUCUGGAGCCGCAGCGAGAGCGAGUCUGAAAAGGGCGUAUGAAGUUGCAGGUAUUAGACCCGAAACCGGGUGACCUAUCCAUGAGCAGGCUGAAGCGGUGGUAAGACACCGUGGAGGGCCGCACCCACGUCUGUUGAAAAAGCCGGGGAUGACUUGUGGAUAGCGGAGAAAUUCCAAUCGAACUCGGAGAUAGCUGGUUCUCCCCGAAAUAGCUUUAGGGCUAGCGUUAUUUUAGAUUACCGGAGGUAAAGCACUGAAUGGUCUAGGGGCCGCGAGGUUACCAAAGCCUAUCAAACUCUGAAUGCCGGAUAAUUGAUGAAUAGCAGUCAGACUGUGUGAGAUAAGUCUCAUAGUCAAAAGGGAAACAGCCCAGAUCUACAGCUAAGGUCCCAAAUGAACACUAAGUGGAAAAUGAUGUGAAACUGCGAAGACAACCAGGAUGUUGGCUUAGAAGCAGCCACUCAUUCAAAGAGUGCGUAAUAGCUCACUGGUCGAGUGGUUUUGCGCAGAAAAUGUAACGGGGCUAAGUGUUCAACCGAAGCUUAGGCAUUGCAGUAAUGCAUUGGGUAGGGGAGCGUCGUAUGCGGGGUGAAGUCAGAGCGGAAGCACUGGUGGACUGCAUACGAGUGAGAAUGCCGGAAUAAGUAGCGAGAAUUAUGUGAGAAUCAUAAUGGCCGAAAAUCUAAGGUUUCUUGGGGAAGGUUCGUCCGCCCAAGGUUAGUCGGGAGCUAAGCUCAGGCCGAAAGGCGUAGGCGAUGCACAUACGGUAGAAAUUCCGUAACCACCGAACAUUUAAGCUAGAGGGACGCUUUCUUUAAGGUUAUCCCGGGCGAUGGUUGCCCCGGGCGUAAGGGACCGAAAUAUAGUAGGGAAGUAACUGGCGAGAGAGACGAGAAAAGCUCUAGUGUAUACUAAGGUGCCCGUACCGCAAACCGACACAGGUAGAUGGGAUGAGUAUUCUAAGGCCAACGGGAGAAGGGUUGUUAAGGAACUCGGCAAAUUGGCCCCGUAACUUCGGGAUAAGGGGCGCCUGCGAGAGCAGGCCGCAGUGAAAAGGCCCAAGCGACUGUUUAGCAAAAACACAGCUCUCUGCUAAAUCGAAAGAUGACGUAUAGGGGGUGACGCCUGCCCGGUGCUGGAAGGUUAAGGGGAGUGCUUAGCGCAAGCGAAGGUGCGAACUUAAGCCCCAGUAAACGGCGGCCGUAACUAUAACGGUCCUAAGGUAGCGAAAUUCCUUGUCAGGUAAG
RNAcentral lists this ribosomal RNA (1896 nucleotides) under human gut metagenome. RNAcentral's name for it is "bacterial LSU rRNA". It matches the Rfam family "Bacterial large subunit ribosomal RNA", at positions 3 to 1980 of the family's 2925-position model. The record is from RNAcentral.